Penaeus chinensis is the source of this 1005-nucleotide long non-coding RNA. RefSeq lists it as uncharacterized. The record is from RefSeq and is a predicted model, not a curated record. Lineage: Eukaryota; Metazoa; Arthropoda; Malacostraca; Decapoda; Penaeidae. The transcript is spliced from 2 exons.
UUGCUAGUUGCAGAUUCUUGAAUUCCUGGCAUCAAUGCUUAUGUAAUACGGUCUGCAUUUUUUUUUUUUUUUUUUUUUUUUACAACGGACACAUGUGCUUAUUACACGAAACAAUAUUAUAACUUUCGAUUUUGUUAUCUCCCAAAGUGAGUGAGUACUUUUAGUUUAUUGUAUGUGUCAUUGUGUUUAGAUAUUAAUCAUAUUAUAAACAAUCGAAAAAAUAUAUAAAUGUUAUAGUCAGCCCUACGCAACUAAACGUAUCACAAAUCAAAGAUAAAUGUUUACACUGAAACCAGCCUUCUUUUUUCCUCGUGCGCCACACUGCAGAGUUUAUCGUUGUCACCACCUUAUCAGUGGAAAACUCAAUGUAAACGCAAGCCUGCGCUGUGACACUUUGUGCCCUGUUGGCAUAUAAAUCCCCGGUCUACGCCUCCAGAACAUUUACCCCGCAGUAGAAGCAAGAAUGAGUUAGUGACUGACAUUCAAACUCUAAAGUAGUCCAGGAAGAAGAAGGUCGAGAGUUCAUCCGUUGAGUAAACAAGACUGAUGUCAAAAUGUCCGUAUUCCACGACUACGAAAUUUUCCUCGACAUGGGCUUAGGAGGCGAAAGAACCUGGACGUCGAGCAACAGCUACCUCAGUUCCUGCAGCAGCGACAGCCGCGCCAGAACCACGAGCCACGGCAGCGGCGUCUCGGCCGAGGGCGUUCACGGGCCAGAAAAGAAGUAACAGAAGAACAAAGAGAAACACAAGUUCUGGAAGCGCGCCUUUUCUUACUGAACUUUACGAGAUCUUAUAGUCGUAAUCAAAUAGGUUUUAGGUUGCUGUUUUGUUUUGUCUUCGGCUAGUUUGUUUUGAAAAUUGUGGACUAGGUUAACUUACUACUUGUAAGUUGAACUCUACAAAAGUAUAAGGUAAAAAAUAAUAAUAGUAGUAGAUUAUAACUUGUAAAAUUGUUGAUCAAAAUCUACUGACAACCUGAGUAUAUAAACAGACCAUUUAUCCA